This 185-nucleotide small RNA is filed under the name Dromaius novaehollandiae (emu). RNAcentral's name for it is "TUC338 (ENSDNVG00000011689.1)". Lineage: Eukaryota; Metazoa; Chordata; Aves; Casuariiformes; Dromaiidae. The record is from RNAcentral.
CUGACAGCCCUGAGGACUGAAGCCCUCUCCUAACCACAGAAAAGAUAUAGUGAAAGCAGUGUGGGAUGUACCUCACCGCAUUGCCAUGCACGUGUAGGCCUCAAGCCUAUUUCAGAAGGGUCACCUCUGGACUGGCAGAAUGAUUCAAUAUUACAUUCUUCACUGCUUAUCUCUGUUUGGAAAAG